UGGCGGUUUUGUUGCUGGAAAAUCGAUGAAGAUGAUGGGGAUGUUUAAUGUCGAUGAAGGUGAAUUGAUGGGCAUAAAAGAAACAUUAUCUUGGAUCAAGGGUCUAGGAUACAGUCACGGCUUGUUUGAAACAGACUGCAAGAGAGCUUGUGAUAUGAUCAGUUUGGGGUGCAGAAAUAUUCUGGAGAGUGGAGCUUUAGCGAGCUUCUGCCGCCGUGAGUUAACGUCACUUCCGGGCUUUCGACUUCAGCAUGUCAGGAGAGAAAGGAAUGCGAUCGCUCAUUCUUUAGCGAAAUCUGCGAG
This 303-nucleotide long non-coding RNA is filed under the name Salvia miltiorrhiza (redroot sage). RNAcentral's name for it is "long non-coding RNA (SMIL_LNC004351)". The record is from RNAcentral. Lineage: Eukaryota; Viridiplantae; Streptophyta; Magnoliopsida; Lamiales; Lamiaceae.